UGCCAGCAGCCGCGGUAAUACUGAAGGUGCAAGCGUUAAUCGGAAUCACUGGGCGUAAAGCGCGUGUAGGUGGUCAAGUCAGUCAGAUGUGAAAACUCGGGGCUCAACCCCGGAAGUGCACUUGAAACAGCAAGACUUGAAUACGGUAGAGGAGAGAGGAAUUCCUGGUGUAGAGGUGAAAUUCGUAGAUAUCAGGAGGAACACCGAUGGCGAAGGCAUCUCUCUGGGUCGAUAUUGACGCUGAGGCGCGAAGGCGUGGGUAGCGAACGGGAUUAGAUA
Molecule: ribosomal RNA, 279 nt
Filed under: uncultured bacterium
Lineage: Bacteria
Description: partial 16S ribosomal RNA
Rfam family: Bacterial small subunit ribosomal RNA
Source: RNAcentral